UCCCCGUCCGUUUUGCAACAAAUGACUAGUUGCAGUCUUUCUUUCUGAAACAAUGGUGGAGUUGUAAAAAUAUGAAGUAGGUGGAAGUUGACUCCCGAUCAUUGGAUGGGGAACCAAUCCGAUGAGCAAGGAGGCGGUGGACGUUUGCCUAAAAUUGCGAUGGAAGGCGACGGCGGCACGGCGGCGGCCUGGAUGGCGACGCACCGCGGGAUGUACGAGCGGGCCACGCGGCACCCCUUCACCGUCUCGAUCCGCGACGGUUCCGUCGACCUGGCCGCCUUCAAACGCUGGCUCGGUCAGGACUACAUGUUCGUGCGGGAAUUUGUUGCAUUUCUAGCUAGUGUACUGCUCAAGUGUUGCAAAGAGUCAGACAGCUCGGACAUGGAAACAAUCCUAGGUGGCUUGGCUUCUCUUAGUGAUGAGCUCUCUUGGUUCAAGAAGGAAGCUGCUAAAUGGAGUGUUGAUCUGGCCGGUAUUUCUCCCCUCAGUUCUACUCCCUCCGUUCCAAAAUAGAUGACCCAACUUUGUACUAAAUUUAAUACAAAGUUGGGUCAUCUAUUUUGGAACGGAGGGAGUAAUAUGGAGUACUGCAGGUUUCUCCAAAGCCUUGAUGAUCCAGAGAUCAGCUACAGUGUAGCCAUAACUACAUUUUGGAUAAUCGAAACCGUGUACCAGGAUAGUUUUGCUUUCUGCAUAGAAGAAGGUAACAAGACGCCGGCGGAGCUCCUGGGACCUGUCAGAGAUGGGGCAGCCCUGAGUUCAAGCAGUACUGCCAGUCUCUGCAGCGGAUCGCUGAUCGCUGCUUGGCGAAUGCGCCACAUGAUGUUGUUGUUGUCAAGAGAGCUGAAGAGGCCUUUCUUGGUGUGCUCGAGCUGGAGAUUGGAUUCUGGGACAUGAGUUCUUCUCAGUCCUAAGCGGCGACUACAUCGUGCCAACUGCCAACACCGAGCAUUACUUGGACGAAAUAGAUACCGCAGUGGGUUCAGCAUUUUUACUGUCAUUUCCCCUGUAUCUUGUUUUCUCUGUUGAACACCGUGCAAUAACCUGGAUGAAAUAAUUGUUGUGUUGGUU
This is an RNA transcript of Triticum aestivum (bread wheat), 1071 nucleotides long. It is a transcript of the gene named bifunctional TENA2 protein, with no coding region annotated. NCBI's taxonomy places the organism in Eukaryota, Viridiplantae, Streptophyta, Magnoliopsida, Poales, Poaceae. The transcript is spliced from 4 exons. The record is from RefSeq and is a predicted model, not a curated record.